Molecule: long non-coding RNA, 467 nt
Organism: Prosopis cineraria
Lineage: Eukaryota; Viridiplantae; Streptophyta; Magnoliopsida; Fabales; Fabaceae
Exons: 3
Source: RefSeq, a predicted model, not a curated record
AUCCACUGGACAUUUUUCCGCUGUGCAUUGAAUCUUCUCUUCCAUGUUCUAAUUGGAGAUUCCUCCUCCCCUAAGCCGCCCGACUUUCCCCAUUCGCUGGACACCUGGACCUCAAGUCCUCAACCUCGUUCUCGUCGCCGCUUAUCGUCCUUAAAGAUUCUUCACCCUCCUCGCCGUUGCCCACCUCACUCGUCCUCGGCACCUCGUCUUCAGAGUGGUCCUUCACCCUUCUGAAAACCGUGCGCUCCAUAAUCCAAAUUCUCGUCUUCACCGUACCUCGCCGUUGCCGAUCGUGGUCCGUUGUCCUCAGAUUAGAGGAAGCAUGGAAUAAGUUCAAUUCUGAGAAGAUUUUCUUAUCGUUCAAGGCAUUUUGUUCAUCUAUUUUGUAGAGGGGGCCGCAACCUUGUAUUAGCUGCUAUGUUUACUCAAAGUGUCCUGCAAAAUUGGCUGUGAAUUGAGUGUCCUGU